GACGAACGCUGGCGGCGUGCCUAAUACAUGCCAGUAGAACGCUGAAGAGAGGAGCUUACUCUUCUUGGAUGAGUUGCGAACGGGUGAGUAACGCGUAGGUAACCUGCCUUGUAGCGGGGGAUAACUAUUGGAAACGAUAGCUAAUACCGCAUAACAAUGGAUGACACAUGUCAUUUAUUUGAAAGGGGCAAUUGCUCCACUACAAGAUGGACCUGCGUUGUAUUAGCUAGUAGGUGAGGUAAUGGCUCACCUAGGCGACGAUACGUAGCCGACCUGAGAGGGUGAUCGGCCACACUGGGACUGAGACACGGCCCAGACUCCUACGGGAGGCAGCAGUAGGGAAUCUUCGGCAAUGGGGGCAACCCUGACCGAGCAACGCCGCGUGAGUGAAGAAGGUUUUCGGAUCGUAAAGCUCUGUUGUAAGUCAAGAACGGGUGUGAGAGUGGAAAGUUCACACUGUGACGGUAGCUUACCAGAAAGGGACGGCUAACUACGUG
Molecule: ribosomal RNA, 497 nt
Filed under: uncultured bacterium
Lineage: Bacteria
Description: partial 16S ribosomal RNA
Rfam family: Bacterial small subunit ribosomal RNA
Source: RNAcentral